This 468-nucleotide ribosomal RNA is filed under the name uncultured bacterium. RNAcentral's name for it is "partial 16S ribosomal RNA". It matches the Rfam family "Bacterial small subunit ribosomal RNA", at positions 28 to 507 of the family's 1533-position model. The record is from RNAcentral.
GACGAACGCUGGCGGCGUGCUUAGCACAUGCAAGUCGAACGGAAAGGCCCUGCUUUUGUGGGGUGCUCGAGUGGCGAACGGGUGAGUAACACGGGAGUAACCUGCCCUGGACUUUGGGAUAACUUCAGGAAACUGGGGCUAAUACCGGAUAGGAGCUCCUGCUGCAUGGUGGGGGUUGGAAAGUUUCGGCGGUUGGGGAUGGACUCGCGGCUUAUCAGCUUGUUGGUGGGGUAGUGGCUUACCAAGGCUUUGACGGGUAGCCGGCCUGAGAGGGUGACCGGCCACAUUGGGCCUGAGAUACGGCCCAGACUCCUACGGGAGGCAGCAGUGGGGAAUAUUGCACAAUGGGCGGACGCCUGAUGCAGCAACGCCGCGUGCGGGAUGACGGCCUUCGGGUUGUAAACCGCUUUCGCCUGUGACGAAGCGUGAGUGACGGUAAUGGGUAAAGAAGCACCGGCUAACUACGUG